This 460-nucleotide ribosomal RNA is filed under the name uncultured bacterium. RNAcentral describes it as "partial 16S ribosomal RNA". It matches the Rfam family "Bacterial small subunit ribosomal RNA", at positions 338 to 795 of the family's 1533-position model. The record is from RNAcentral.
CCUACGGGGGGCAGCAGUGAGGAAUAUUGGUCAAUGGACGAGAGUCUGAACCAGCCAAGUAGCGUGAAGGAUGACUGCCCUAUGGGUUGUAAACUUCUUUUAUAUGGGAAUAAAAUGUUCCACGUGUGGGAUUUUGUAUGUACCAUAUGAAUAAGGAUCGGCUAACUCCGUGCCAGCAGCCGCGGUAAUACGGAGGAUCCGAGCGUUAUCCGGAUUUAUUGGGUUUAAAGGGAGCGUAGGUGGAUUGUUAAGUCAGUUGUGAAAGUUUGCGGCUCAACCGUAAAAUUGCAGUUGAAACUGGCAGUCUUGAGUACAGUAGAGGUGGGCGGAAUUCGUGGUGUAGCGGUGAAAUGCUUAGAUAUCACGAAGAACUCCGAGUGCGAAGGCAGUUCACUGGACUGCAACUGACACUGAGGCUCGAAAGUGUGGGUAUCAAACAGGAUUAGAUACCCCAGUAGUC